Molecule: ribosomal RNA, 655 nt
Filed under: uncultured bacterium
Lineage: Bacteria
Description: bacterial SSU rRNA
Rfam family: Bacterial small subunit ribosomal RNA
Source: RNAcentral
CGGUAGCUAAUACCGCAUAACGUCGCAAGACCAAAGAGGGGGACCUUCGGGCCUCUUGCCAUCGGAUGUGCCCAGAUGGGAUUAGCUUGUAGGUGAGGUAACGGCUCACCUAGGCGACGAUCCCUAGCUGGUCUGAGAGGAUGACCAGCCACACUGGAACUGAGACACGGUCCAGACUCCUACGGGAGGCAGCAGUGGGGAAUAUUGCACAAUGGGCGCAAGCCUGAUGCAGCCAUGCCGCGUGUAUGAAGAAGGCCUUCGGGUUGUAAAGUACUUUCAGCGGGGAGGAAGGGAGUGAGGUUAAUAACCUCAUUCAUUGACGUUACCCGCAGAAGAAGCACCGGCUAACUCCGUGCCAGCAGCCGCGGUAAUACGGAGGGUGCGAGCGUUAAUCGGAAUUACUGGGCGUAAAGCGCACGCAGGCGGUCUGUCAAGUCGGAUGUGAAAUCCCCGGGCUCAACCUGGGAACUGCAUUCGAAACUGGCAGGCUGGAGUCUUGUAGAGGGGGGUAGAAUUCCAGGUGUAGCGGUGAAAUGCGUAGAGAUCUGGAGGAAUACCGGUGGCGAAGGCGGCCCCCUGGACAAAGACUGACGCUCAGGUGCGAAAGCGUGGGGAGCAAACAGGAUUAGAUACCCUGGUAGUCCACGCUGUAAAC